Molecule: ribosomal RNA, 588 nt
Filed under: uncultured bacterium
Lineage: Bacteria
Description: partial 16S ribosomal RNA
Rfam family: Bacterial small subunit ribosomal RNA
Source: RNAcentral
UGGGGAAUUUUGGACAAUGGGCGAAAGCCUGAUCCAGCAAUGCCGCGUGUGUGAAGAAGGCCUUCGGGUUGUAAAGCGCUUUUGUCCGGAAAGAAAUCCUUGGCUCUAAUACAGUCGGGGGAUGACGGUACCGGAAGAAUAAGCACCGGCUAACUACGUGCCAGCAGCCGCGGUAAUACGUAGGGUGCAAGCGUUAAUCGGAAUUACUGGGCGUAAAGCGUGCGCAGGCGGUUUGCUAAGACCGAUGUGAAAUCCCCGGGCUCAACCUGGGAACUGCAUUGGUGACUGGCAGGCUAGAGUAUGGCAGAGGGGGGUAGAAUUCCACGUGUAGCAGUGAAAUGCGUAGAGAUGUGGAGGAAUACCGAUGGCGAAGGCAGCCCCCUGGGCCAAAUACUGACGCUCAUGCACGAAAGCGUGGGGAGCAAACAGGAUUAGAUACCCUGGUAGUCCACGCCCUAAAACGAUGUCAACUAGUUGUUGGGGAUUCAUUUCCUUAGUAACGUAGCUAACGCGUGAAGUUGACCGCCUGGGGAGUACGGUCGCAAGAUUAAAAACUUAAAGGAAUUGACGGGGUCAUAGCUGUUUCCU